CUGGCACUUGAGAUUCCAGUUACCAGGGUGAUUCUUCGGAUACUCGAAACCUCGCUGCUAGUCGUAGCAAUGCAAACAAACAUGGUAUUGACAAAAUUAACAUCACACCAAACAUAAGAACAUACUGUAUAAUAAUGAUCUAUGCGUUGCUACGAGAUCGUGGGAGCGAGAACUACUAAGAUCAGAGUGACGAUUAAGGAGUUAUGAUUUUAUAGAAGAUCUAUGUGAUUCAAAUACUAAACUAUAUUAUAAAUUGGUUAGUGUAAAUCAUAUGAGAGGUUAUUCUCUAAAUAAUUAUCUCAACUUUAAUCUAGUUUUAAAUUGACCAUAAAUUAUAUUCUAGUAGAUUCUAAUGAUAAGCAAUUUAACCAGUCUAACCAACAAAAAUUAAAUAAAGAUCUAAUUAGAAAAAUGAGACAUGCUACAAUAAAUGUUGUUAUUGCAUAGUAAAUAUUUAUACGAGAUUAACGCAACUGGAACGAGUCAAUUCGGAUUUAAAACGAAAGGGUUAUGAAUUUCCUAAGGUUUUAUGUAUUCCAUACAAGAUUAACCAAGAGAUUUAUUUAAUACAAUUUUCAUAUCAAAACAUUGGCACUAUGUGAUGAACAAUAAUGUUACAAAAUUAUAGGAAUUGGAAUGAGUCAAAAAGGAGUUAAAAUGUAUUUUCUAGGAAUUAUACAAGUUCUUGGAAUUAAUUUUGCAAUAAAAAUCAUUUUCUGAAUAAAUUUCUCUGUUUUACUAAGGUCUGGACUGCGCGCGCUAAUAAUAGAUAACUCAGGGUUUAAUAAGCAAAUGUUUCCAAGACUCAGGACCCUCCCGCGAAGGACUGUGGGUUUAUUCCCAAAAUCCUGAGGGGUUCAUACGCAAAAGACGCAUGACGAAGGGGUACAGUUAUAUCCUGGCUGUUGGAUCGCCGAUCUACGGAUCAGAUUAGAUCCAAACUUUCCUGAACGGUACGCUAUAUGGGCCUUUGGAUCUAUAUCUAACGGCCACGACCACAUCGGAUGAAGGGGUAUACUGGAUUUAAUCGUGACCGCACGUUUUUAAUCGAACGCACGACACGCCCGCCAACCGAUGGAUCUCUAUCCUACGGUCCAAACACCAUCUUCAACCCUCCGCUCCUAAUCGCGACGGCAACAGGGACACACGACAGCGCCCAGCCGAAGUCGGCAAGGCCGACACCCAAGCACCCAGUUUCUAAAUCCAAUAGAUCUAAACGGUCUACUCAUGGCCUCUCGUAAAAGGGACGAAGAAAACAUGAAAUCACACGGGAGAAACCCAUACCGACGACGGGUCCGUGGCGGCAACAAUUCCGGCCACGGCGCAGCGCAUGCCAGCCCUUCGAAGCAUGCCCAGGUCUGCCCAACCUCAGCGGCACGACGACGGACCCGUACCGGCAAGGAAACGCCAUGGUCCGAGGCCAUCCAUCCCUACAUCCCGCGCUUGAGGAAGCUCCGCAUAGGGUGUUCUAAAUCUCCCUCCCGGUCGGUGUCGUGAAGGUGUUUUGCG
This 1509-nucleotide long non-coding RNA is filed under the name Zea mays. RNAcentral describes it as "long non-coding RNA (ZMAY_LNC003566)". The record is from RNAcentral. Lineage: Eukaryota; Viridiplantae; Streptophyta; Magnoliopsida; Poales; Poaceae.